AUUGAACGCUGGCGGCAGGCCUAACACAUGCAAGUCGAACGAGUGGCGGACGGGUGAGUAAUGUCUGGGAAACUGCCUGAUGGAGGGGGAUAACUACUGGCAACGGUAGCUAAUACCGCAUACCAUCAGAUGUGCCCAGAUGGGAUUAGCUUGUUGGUGGGGUAACGGCUCACCAAGGCGACGAUCCCUAGCUGGUCUGAGAGGGUGACAAGCCACACUGGAAAUGAGACACGGUCCAGACUCAUACGGGAGGCAGCAGUGGGGAAUAUUGCACAAUGGGCGCAAGCCUGAUGCAGCAAGGCCGCGUGUAUGAAGAAGGCCGUCGGUUUGUAAAGUACUGUCAGCGGGGAGGCGUUACCCGAAGAAGAAGCACCGGCUAACCCCGUGCCAGGCGCCGCGGUAAUUC
RNAcentral lists this ribosomal RNA (406 nucleotides) under uncultured bacterium. Its description in RNAcentral is "partial 16S ribosomal RNA". It matches the Rfam family "Bacterial small subunit ribosomal RNA", at positions 30 to 526 of the family's 1533-position model. The record is from RNAcentral.